RNAcentral lists this ribosomal RNA (278 nucleotides) under uncultured bacterium. RNAcentral describes it as "partial 16S ribosomal RNA". It matches the Rfam family "Bacterial small subunit ribosomal RNA", at positions 29 to 334 of the family's 1533-position model. The record is from RNAcentral.
AACGAACGCUGGCGGCAGGCCUAAUACAUGCAAGUCGAGCGCAUCCUUCGGGAUGAGCGGCGGACGGGUGAGUAACGCGUGGGAAUGUGCCUCAAGGUAGGGAAUAGCCUCUGGAAACGGGGAGUAAUACCCUAUGUGCCCUUCGGGGGAAAGAUUUAUCGCCUUGAGAUCAGCCCGCGUUGGAUUAGUUUGUUGGUGGGGUAAUGGCCUACCAAGACUACGAUCCAUAGCUGGUUUGAGAGGAUGAUCAGCCACACUGGGACUGAGACACGGCCCAG